RNAcentral lists this ribosomal RNA (253 nucleotides) under uncultured bacterium. Its description in RNAcentral is "partial 16S ribosomal RNA". It matches the Rfam family "Bacterial small subunit ribosomal RNA", at positions 524 to 776 of the family's 1533-position model. The record is from RNAcentral.
UACAGAGGGUGCGAGCGUUAAUCGGAAUUACUGGGCGUAAAGCGUGCGUAGACGGCUAUCUAAGUCGGGUGUGAAAGCCCCGGGCUCAACCUGGGAACUGCAUUUGUGACUGCACAGCUGGAGUGCGGCAGAGGGGGAUGGAAUUCCGCGUGUAGCAGUGAAAUGCGUAGAUAUGCGGAGGAACACCGAUGGCGAAGGCAAUCCCCUGGGCCUGCACUGACGCUCAUGCACGAAAGCGUGGGGAGCAAACAGG